AAAUAAAAUUUUAAUUUUUUCAUAAAAUUGAUCUGUUGCAUGCCUAGACUAGUUGUAGAAUUGUUCCAGUAACUUGUCUAGAAUAGAUUUAAUUUUGAAUAGUUCAAUUUAAAUCUUAUUUUUUAGAUAUUACAUAUGAUGUAUCAAAUCUGAAAGCAUGUUAAUUAGAUCAAUUUUUGAUACAUGAGAUGUAUGCAAAGCAUGUAUUAGUUAGAUCUUAAAUUGUAUAUGAGAUAUGUAAAUUUAGAUCUAACUAGUUUUGUAGUUAAAUUUAUAUUUCUGAUUAAGGUGUUCCUCAUGGC
Molecule: long non-coding RNA, 302 nt
Filed under: Elaeis guineensis (African oil palm)
Lineage: Eukaryota; Viridiplantae; Streptophyta; Magnoliopsida; Arecales; Arecaceae
Description: long non-coding RNA (EGUI_LNC066514)
Source: RNAcentral